UAAAAGUCGUAACAAGGUCUCCGUUGGUGAACCAGCGGAGGGAUCAUUACCGAGUUUACAACUCCCAAACCCAAUGUGAACGUUACCAAACUGUUGCCUCGGCGGGAUCUCUGCCCCGGGUGCGUCGCAGCCCCGGACCAAGGCGCCCGCCGGAGGACCAACCAAAACUCUUUUGUAUACCCCCUCGCGGGUUUUUAUAUCUGAGCCAUCUCGGCGCCUCUCGUAGGCGUUUCGAAAAUGAAUCAAAACUUUCAACAACGGAUCUCUUGGUUCUGGCAUCGAUGAAGAACGCAGCGAAAUGCGAUAAGUAAUGUGAAUUGCAGAAUUCAGUGAAUCAUCGAAUCUUUGAACGCACAUUGCGCCCGCCAGUAUUCUGGCGGGCAUGCCUGUCCGAGCGUCAUUUCAACCCUCGAACCCCUCCGGGGGGUCGGCGUUGGGGAUCGGCCCUUUACGGGGCCGGCCCCGAAAUACAGUGGCGGUCUCGCCGCAGCCUCUCCUGCGCAGUAGUUUGCACACUCGCAUCGGGAGCGCGGCGCGUCCAUUGCCGUUAAACACCCAACUUUCUGAAAUGU
Molecule: ribosomal RNA, 572 nt
Filed under: fungal sp. ARIZ B527
Lineage: Eukaryota; Fungi
Description: eukaryotic LSU rRNA
Rfam family: 5.8S ribosomal RNA (bases 247-400)
Source: RNAcentral